GCGCAGCAACUCCCCCCAAAGAGACUUAAAAUCUCUCGGCCUUUGGUCAUGCGGGUUCGAUCCCCGCCGUCCGCACCA
RNAcentral lists this transfer RNA (78 nucleotides) under Neorhizobium galegae bv. orientalis str. HAMBI 540. RNAcentral's name for it is "tRNA-Und (NNN) (tRNA-Und-NNN-1-1)". Lineage: Bacteria; Pseudomonadati; Pseudomonadota; Alphaproteobacteria; Hyphomicrobiales; Rhizobiaceae. The record is from RNAcentral.